UGCAGUCGACGGUGAACACGGAGCUUGCUCUGUGGGAUCAGUGGCGAACGGGUGAGUAACACGUGAGCAACCUGCCCCUGACUCUGGGAUAAGCGCUGGAAACGGCGUCUAAUACUGGAUAUGUGACGUGACCGCAUGGUCUGCGUUUGGAAAGAUUUUUCGGUUGGGGAUGGGCUCGCGGCCUAUCAGCUUGUUGGUGAGGUAAUGGCUCACCAAGGCGUCGACGGGUAGCCGGCCUGAGAGGGUGACCGGCCACACUGGGACUGAGACACGGCCCAGACUCCUACGGGAGGCAGCAGUGGGGAAUAUUGCACAAUGGGCGAAAGCCUGAUGCAGCAACGCCGCGUGAGGGAUGACGGCCUUCGGGUUGUAAACCUCUUUUAGCAGGGAAGAAGCGAAAGUGACGGUACCUGCAGAAAAAGCGCCGGCUAACUACGUGCCAGCAGCCGCGGUAAUACGUAGGGCGCAAGCGUUAUCCGGAAUUAUUGGGCGUAAAGAGCUCGUAGGCGGUUUGUCGCGUCUGCUGUGAAAUCCCGAGGCUCAACCUCGGGCCUGCAGUGGGUACGGGCAGACUAGAGUGCGGUAGGGGAGAUUGGAAUUCCUGGUGUAGCGGUGGAAUGCGCAGAUAUCAGGAGGA
This 637-nucleotide ribosomal RNA is filed under the name uncultured bacterium. RNAcentral's name for it is "bacterial SSU rRNA". It matches the Rfam family "Bacterial small subunit ribosomal RNA", at positions 56 to 705 of the family's 1533-position model. The record is from RNAcentral.